UACGGAGGGUGCAAGCGUUAAUCGGAAUUACUGGGCGUAAAGGGUUCGUAGGCGGAUAGACAAGUCAGAUGUAAAAGACCAGGGCUCAACCUUGGAUGGUCAUUUGAAACUAUCUAUCUAGAAUUCAGUAGAGGAGAGGAGAAUUUCUGGUGUAGCGGUGAAAUGCGUAGAGAUCAGAAGGAAUACCAAUUGCGAAGGCAACUCUCUGGGCUUGAAUUGACGCUGAGGGACGAAAGCGUGGGUAGCAAACAGG
Molecule: ribosomal RNA, 253 nt
Filed under: uncultured bacterium
Lineage: Bacteria
Description: partial 16S ribosomal RNA
Rfam family: Bacterial small subunit ribosomal RNA
Source: RNAcentral